CCCUGGUUAGCUCAGUUGGUAGAGCGCUCCACUUGUAAUGGAGAGGUCCCGGGACCCGGGUUCGAGACCCGGACCAGGCG
Non-coding RNA from Ixodes scapularis (black-legged tick), 80 nucleotides. The record is from Rfam. Lineage: Eukaryota; Metazoa; Arthropoda; Arachnida; Ixodida; Ixodidae.